Molecule: long non-coding RNA, 420 nt
Organism: Mugil cephalus (flathead mullet)
Lineage: Eukaryota; Metazoa; Chordata; Actinopteri; Mugiliformes; Mugilidae
Exons: 3
Source: RefSeq, a predicted model, not a curated record
CUGUUGCACCAUGUCCAGCCACCACUGAACUACAUCCUGUGAUACCGCCAGGAUUUUAGACUAUGUAUGUCUGGAUUUCUGCCUGAGAGAGAAUCCUCAACUGAAUCAAGGGACUGUCAUCAUCCUGUGAGUGCUUUCCUGCAGAGAGUCAUUUGAACGAGACAGCGCGCCUGCACCAGGGCCACAGUCUGGGGCAGCAGAGUGCUCUCUAAAAGAUGUUCAGCCCCCCAGAUGACAGCGCAGACAUGACAUCUACACACCGAAUGGGAAAAGAACCAUGGAAGAUUAUGCGUCUAGGACAAUUGUGCUAUCGUACUGCUACUGCAGAGCAAAACAGAAAUUGUUUUUCCGUUACGUGAUUAUUGUAAUGUAAUUUACAUUAUGUCGGAGCAGAAAUAAGCUCAAAUAUUUGAGAUACUG